This 1810-nucleotide long non-coding RNA is filed under the name Anas platyrhynchos platyrhynchos (common mallard). RNAcentral's name for it is "lncRNA (ENSAPLG00000017295.1)". The record is from RNAcentral. Lineage: Eukaryota; Metazoa; Chordata; Aves; Anseriformes; Anatidae.
UCCCCUGGGGGUCCCCUCACCCCAUCCCCUUCCCCCCAUCCCCAUGGGAUGCCCCCCUUUUCCCGUCCCCAUGGGGUCCCCUCACCCUGUCCCCUUUCCCCCAUCCCCAUGGGGUCCCGUGGGGGUCCCGUGGGGUCCCCCCGCACCCGCUGACCCCGCGGCCCCGCAGAGGAGACGUACGAGCAGCUGGCCAUGGAGACGCUGGAGGAGCUGGACUGGUGCCUGGACCAGCUGGAGGCCGUGCAGCCGCACCGCUCCGUCAGCGAGAUGGCCUCCAACAAGGUGGGGGACGCGGGGACAUCGUGGGGACGCCGUGGGGACAUGGGGACAUGGGGACAUCGUGGGGACAUGGGGACGUCGUGGGGACACGGGGACGUUGUGGGGACAUCAUAGGGACAUGGGGACAUCAUGGGGACAUCAUGGGGACAUGAGGACAACAUGGGGACAUCACUGGGACACCAUGGGGACAUGGGGACAUCAUGGGGACAUCAUGGGGACAUCAUGGGAACAUGGGGACAUCAUGGGGACAUGGGGACACCAUGGGGACAUGGGGACACCGUGGGGACAUCAUGGGAACAUGGGGACAUCAUGGGGACAUGAGGACAACAUGGGGACAUCAUGGGGAUAUGGGGACACAGGAACGUCAUGGAGACAUGAGGACACCAUGGGGACAUGGGGACACCGUGGGGACAUGGGGACACCAUGGGGACAUCAUGGGGACAUGGGGACACCAUGGGGACAUGAGGACACCGUGGGGACAUCAUGGGGACACCAUGGGGACAUGGGGAUACCAUGGGGACAUGGGGACAUCAUGUGGACAUCAUGGGGACAUCAUGGGGACAUGGGGACAUCAUGGGGACAUGGGGAUGGGGCCCCUGCUGCGCCAUGGGGACCGGGGGGGAACGGCUCCACCAUGGGGACGGGGACGGUGCCAUCGUGGGGACAGGGAUGGGGACAUGGCUCCGUCAUGGGGACAACUCUGUCAUGGGGACAGGGAUGGGGACGUGGUUCCACCAUGGGGACGUGGCUCCGUCACGAGGACAGGGAUGGGGACGUGGCUCCGCCAUAGGGACAGGGAUGGGGACGGGGAUGGGGACAGCUCCGUCAUGGGGACACAUCUGGGGACAUGGCUCCAUCAUGGGGACAUGGCUCCACUGUGGGGACAGGAAUGGGGAUGGCACCGUCAUGGGGACACAUCUGGGGACAUGGCUCCGCCGUAGGGACAUGGAUGGGGACAGCUCCGUCAUGGGGUCAGGGAUGGGGACAGGGAUGGGGACAGCUCCAUGUGCUUGGGGACAUGGCUCCGCCAUAGGGACAGGAAUGGGGACAGGGAUGGGGACGGCACCGUCAUGGGGACAGGGAUGGGGCCAUGGGGUUGGGGACAGGAACCUGUCACCUUUAUGGGGUCAGGGACUGGGACAGGAACCUGGCACCGCCGUGGGGACACGAAUGGGACGCAGCUGCUAUGGGGACGGGGACGGGACCCUGCUCCAUAUGGGGACAGGGAUGGGGACAGGACCCCCGUUGUGCUGUGGGGACGGGUCCCCAGCGCCGCUGUGGGGUCAGGGACAGGGCUUUGGGGUCAGGAACGGGGUUUUGGGGACAGGGACAAGGCUUUGGGGUCAGGGAUGGGACUUUGGGGUCAGGGACAGGUCUUUGGGGUCAGGGAUGGGACUUUGGGGACAGGGACAAGGUUUUGGGGUCAGGGCCGGGGCUUUGGGGUCAGUGUCCGGGGCUGCUCGGGUGCGUGGUCCCCAGGGUGACCCUUGGGGUCCCCACCCCAUUUCUGGGUGGCCCUUGGGGGUCCCCA